This 389-nucleotide long non-coding RNA is filed under the name Citrus maxima (pomelo). Its description in RNAcentral is "long non-coding RNA (CMAX_LNC002192)". The record is from RNAcentral. Lineage: Eukaryota; Viridiplantae; Streptophyta; Magnoliopsida; Sapindales; Rutaceae.
CUUGGUCGGAGUGGUGGGCUGCUGCCCUCACAAGUUACAGAUUCUGUAACAUACAGAUUCAAAAUAUUCUGAGGGCAGCGGUUCAAGCCCCCACAAAAGUAUUUGUGGGGGCUAACGUGCUUAUUUGUUUAAUAUUUCAAAAAUUUUCUCUCCCUCGUGCAAUACGAGUAGAGUAUGGGCAUCCCUCUUCUGUAAGGGAUUAUUUAUCUGGGCAUGUACUUCACAGAAUUCAAUGUAAUAAUAUAAGUCCCAAUCAUGUAUUUCUGAUUGUAAAUAUCAGUGUAAAAUAUAUGCUAUAAUAGCAGUUGUAAAUAUCUGUGUAAUGCAGUAAUGUAAUAUGAUGAUUAAUCAGUAUUCAAAAAAAAAAACAUGAUAUGAAAGUUGAGGUC